CUGGAGAGACCCUGCCUAAUAGUCCUCCAGAAAACAUGAGCCAGUUGAUUCUCUCUCCAGCACUGAAGAAUGCCCAUUUAUCUGUUGUUAGAGGAGAAUUUUUCAAAUAAGUUAUAAUCAUAUAAUCAAGGUUAUCAUACACAUAUAAAAUGAAGAUGUGCCAAAGAUUUUUUUAAUUCAUUGAUUAAUAAGGACAUCACUAACAUGUUACAGCUAGUCCAAAGGAGAAUAUAAUCCAUCCUCCUCUCCAAUCAGCUGUCCAUACUCCAUCUGUCCAUCCCUCCAUCCAUCCAUUGAUCUACUCCAAUGGUUCUUAACCCAGGGUGAUUCUGUCCCUAGAGAACAUUUGGAAAUGUCUGGAGACAUUUUUGGCUGUAUAACCGGGGGGAUGCUUCUGGCAUCUAGUGAGUAAAGGCCAGAGAUGCUGCUAAACAUCCUACAACACACAGGAGCACUCCCAACAAAUCUGACCUAAAAUGUCAGUAGUGCCAAGACCGAGAAUCCCUGGAUCCCCAUACAACCACCCACCCAUUCAUACAACCAUCCAUUCAUCCACACCCAUCUAUUUAAAUGUUUAUGGCGUACCUGCAACAAUGCCUCUCAAUCUUGACUGCAAAUGAGAAUCACCUGUGCAGCAGAUAAAACAUACACUGCCAAGGUAUUACCUUUGAGUACUUGGACUUUUAUAAUCAGAAAAUAUGGAAAUUUGUGAAUUGUAAGUUAAUCAGCAGAGAAGCUUCUGUGCUUGUUUCUAAGACAAUAUAUGAUAUUAAAUAACAGCUAAUUAAGAUUAAUCAACAAUUUAUCACCAUAUUAGGUAAACAAGAGCAUUCCAAAGGUGAAAAACAAAUGUCCAGGUCUCCUACCAGGGCGGUCUCAACUCAUUCUACACAUUAGAAUCACUGGGGAACUUUUAAAGAUUACUGAUCCCCAGAUCUGAGGCUCUGAUUUAAUUGGUCUAGGAUGUGGCCUAGGCCUCAGGAUUUUAUAAAAGCACCCUAGGUGAUUAUAAUAUGCAGCCAGGAAUAAGAACAGCUGUGUCAGAAUUCAAAAAAAUACACUUCUCUUUUUCUAUAUUGGUUAAUUUUUUUUUACAUGUACAAACACUUUUUUCUUUUCCAUUUUAGAGUCCAAUCUUAAAAUAAUGCUUGAGGCAAUAAUCUGCAUCUUUUUUGCCCUUGGAGUCUUGGUCUGCUUUAUUUAUUGUGUGUGUGUGUGGGAUUGACCUAGAAUCACAGGCCCCCAGGAUCACCGGACUGCCAACCAUCAAGGGAAGGGCUCCUAAUCCAUCUUCUGCCUCUAGAGCUUUUCAAGGAAGUGGCAUUGGCAGAAGACCACAAGGCUUGUUUCAGGAGCUAAUUAUACAUCUUGACUAAUAUUAGAAUAUUUGGACAGAUGGUAACAAAAUUUAGAUGAAAAGACUUAAAGGGCUGGAAACACCUAAAUACCAUUAGAUGUUCUUCUCACUAACAUCCAAUCAUCCAUCUGUGUUCAGGAGAUCCUGGUUUCUUGUCCGGUUCGAAUAAACUCACGGUUCAUGUACAAAAUAUUUCUUAGACUUGGACACCACUGGCGCUGCCGCCACCACCACCACCACACCAUGUUUUUCUAUAGCUCUGGGAAUUUUUAAUGCUCUUACUGGGUGUCAAAACUCCCACUCUUUUCUGAGACUCUAACCCAACAGAAGAGAUUCUUACCUAAUAUAGCUUCCUGCCAUCCUGAGAGAACAGGAAUAAUGACAUAUUUAUGGAAGGCUUUAGAAAUUGUAAGGUCUUUGUAGACAUUAUCUCCUGUGAUUCUCUUAGCAUCCCUGUAGCGGAGAGGGUAGUGAGAGCGGCUACGUCCACUUUGCAGAUGCAGAGAUUGAGACUCAGAGAAAGGAGAGUACCCAAGGUCCUGGACUCUGAGUCGUGGUAUCUCAACUUGGGAGGUCUCAGAUCCUGUGUUCCUUUCUCAUAUACUUGGCGCCAUUUGUGGCUGUGUUCUCUACAUUCUCUGCCUCUCUGAGAGCCUUCCGGGUCGCUCCCUCAGCUUUCCCACCUUCCGCAGAAGGCCAGGGCACAGCCCCGUAGCACAGCAACCCCCAGUUUAAGAAUAGCACUUGUCUGCGCCACACACGCAAAACCCCAGCCUCAUAAUGCCUUUUACAGCUUUUCUGGACAGAGAAGAUUCUCCUUCAGGGGAUUUGUAACAGGAAAAUCCCACCUGCAUCCAGAAAUUCACUUCUUUUCUUUUUCCAUUUCUUAACCAGCCACUUAGUCAUCAAAUCAUACAAUCAUGGCCAGCCCCGAGGUAAACCCCUUCCCUAUACGUAAGACCCCCUUCCAGCGUUUGCAGAUACUGCAAACAGAGUGCCUCUCCCUUUAUCGUUAUAAAGCUGAGCUGCUCAUUAGAACACUUUUUCUUAUUACUCUCUAAAUUUGAUAUUUCUGUUAAUAAAAGGAAUUAAUAUUUAAUAAACUAAAAAUUCAAAAGGAAAGGAAGUCCUUGUUUCAUCCAGAAGCAACCACUGAGCUUUUGACAUUUUAGUCUUUUUUGCUCAAAUAUGAAUAUGUCUACAUAUAUGAUGUGAUUUUUGAUUGAUACAAUUAAAUAACUUUCUACAGCUGCUUUUGUAGAAUCACAGAAUUUAGAUUUAAGGCCUCCCAAGUCCUCACUUCCUGGUUUGGGGAUUUCUUUCACGUGGACCUUGACUGGGGCUGCCCAGACGCUGCUUGCAUCCUCCAGGGACCAGGGGCCCAGUUUGCACCAAGACCAUCCAUUCCAGAUCUGCUCGGAUGUAGAACCCCUGCUGCUUCUGGAAAGGUCUGGGGAUGGAAAAAAUCUGACAUGAAUGCUGUCAACAGGAAGCAACCGCGCAUACCUUCUGGACGGCGGAGAUGGCGGCAAAGUCAUUCUUGUCUAUAAGGGUAUACUUCCUGCGCAAAGUGGACUCCACUUCCUGCUCCUGUUGGCUUGAGAGAGAGGAGAGAACACCUUGCACCUUGGAGCUAGGCUGAACCUUCCAGAUCGAAAACCAAGUAUGAGAACUAGAAGUCAUUUGGGUGUGGCCCCUUGUGAUGGAGCCACACCCUCAUGGUGAACCAGACAAAACAAGCCCAUUCCACACCCCGAUUCCUCAGACCACAUACCACCUGUUCACCCCUCGAAUUGGCAGUGGCCACCCUUGUAUGCCAGGGACUUCUGCUCCAAGGAAACUAACAAGGACUGUAAGCCUGCCUCAGGACCAUGGUUUCCCACCUAGGUUCUAUCUUUAAAAGGCCCCAGGGAAACAUAUGACCCACGCCUGUGCUACCACCCAGCACAAGCUGUUCACUGUACAGGUAUGUCUGCACCCCAAUACAUCACAAAUGCCUCCUGAGAUGGGGGCGGGGCACAGGGCAUAUUCAUGAUGCCCUGCUCUGGCCACACUCAGGGCUGGCACUCCAGAAGGACCUCCCGUCUAAUUCAUGAACUCAGGAAACACCCACCAGGGAUCACUUCUUCUCUGAGUUGUCCUUGAACAGACAGCUCUCCUCCCGGCUUCCCCCAGAGGAGGGGGAGGGCUGGAGGUUCUGAGAGCUCAGGGGCCUGGGCACACCCCAAGGACUCUGAGCUGGCUUCUCAUCCAUGAGAGACAAGGCCGUGUGCUGAGAGCCACACCCUGGCCAUGGGAAAUGAAAACGGCAGCCUGAUGUAGGAGUCCGAUGGGCGGGUGAGGGUCCCUUACCUCAGCACCACCCGGAACUGGUUGAACACCUCCUGGAUCUGUCUGAGGUUGAUGAUCUGGAGGCAAGACAGCAAGGCAGAGGUUGGGCCUCAGGCCGCACAGGGCUGAAGGUGUGUCUACACUUAGAAGAGAAACCAGGACUCCUUGGCUAACCCUUUAAUCAUGUAUGUCUUGAGAAUGGAACAUCAGGAACCUCCUCAAGAACA
This is a long non-coding RNA of Mustela erminea (ermine), 3915 nucleotides long. RefSeq lists it as uncharacterized. The transcript is spliced from 2 exons. The record is from RefSeq and is a predicted model, not a curated record. NCBI's taxonomy places the organism in Eukaryota, Metazoa, Chordata, Mammalia, Carnivora, Mustelidae.